CCUACGGGUGGCAGCAGUGGGGAAUAUUGCACAAUGGGGGAAACCCUGAUGCAGCGACGCCGCGUGAGUGAAGAAGUAUUUCGGUAUGUAAAGCUCUAUCAGCAGGGAAGAAAAUGACGGUACCUGAUUAAGAAGCCCCGGCUAACUACGUGCCAGGAGCCGCGGUAAUACGUAGGGGGCAAGCGUUAACCGGAUUUACUGGGGGUAAAGGGAGCGUAGACGGCAGAACAAGUCUGGAGUGAAAUGCCGGGGCUUAACCCGGGAACUGCUUUGGAUACUGGGCAGCUAGAGUGCAGGAGAGGUGAGUGGAAUUCCAAGUGUAGCGGUGAAAUGCGUAGAGAUGAGGAGGAAUACCAGUGGCGAAGGCGGCUUACUGGACUGUAACUGACGUUGAGGCUCGAAAGCGUGGGGAGCAAACAGGAUUAGAUACCCCUGUAGUC
This 440-nucleotide ribosomal RNA is filed under the name uncultured bacterium. RNAcentral's name for it is "partial 16S ribosomal RNA". It matches the Rfam family "Bacterial small subunit ribosomal RNA", at positions 338 to 795 of the family's 1533-position model. The record is from RNAcentral.